GGUGGGGUGGCCGAGUGGUCGAAGGCGCCGGUCUUGAAAACCGGUAGACCCGUCAGGGUCUCGCGGGUUCGAAUCCCGCCCCCACCGC
RNAcentral lists this transfer RNA (88 nucleotides) under Planctomycetota bacterium. RNAcentral's name for it is "tRNA-Ser". It matches the Rfam family "tRNA". Rfam says of the family: Transfer RNA (tRNA) molecules are approximately 80 nucleotides in length. Their secondary structure includes four short double-helical elements and three loops (D, anti-codon, and T loops). Further hydrogen bonds mediate the characteristic L-shaped molecular structure. tRNAs have two regions of fundamental functional importance: the anti-codon, which is responsible for specific mRNA codon recognition, and the 3' end, to which the tRNAs corresponding amino acid is attached (by aminoacyl-tRNA synthetases). tRNAs cope with the degeneracy of the genetic code in two manners: having more than one tRNA (with a specific anti-codon) for a particular amino acid; and 'wobble' base-pairing, i.e. permitting non-standard base-pairing at the 3rd anti-codon position. RNAcentral also lists the same sequence under 1 other name. Lineage: Bacteria; Pseudomonadati; Planctomycetota. The record is from RNAcentral.